Molecule: long non-coding RNA, 658 nt
Filed under: Vulpes vulpes (red fox)
Lineage: Eukaryota; Metazoa; Chordata; Mammalia; Carnivora; Canidae
Description: lncRNA (ENSVVUG00000025085.1)
Source: RNAcentral
CUUGACUUGGAAAUAUAAAAGAAGGAUAAAUAUGUUUCAAGGUAUAAUUUACAUUUUACUUAUGAUUCUGCUUUGAUUUUAAAAUAAAUUAGUGAUUAGAACUUCCCAUCCUCAUGCAGCUACAUAUUUAUUACAAAUUCCUUGAGUGACUUUCAGAUCAUGGGCUCCCAAGACUAAAGUCUUGAUGGUUUGAGAAUUUUAUGUGGAGAAGAAUGCUACAAGAAUGUAUAUGGUAAAGGCAAACCACUUAAAUAUGUCCUGGGUUGUGCAAUGGAAUUCAGCAUCACUGUGAGUAAAUACUACAUUUUGUGCUUUUACUCAGGACUACACUCCCUGCUGCCUCCUGCAAUCACCAGUAUACAGAGUGGAAGAUCUCUUUAUUACUGCAGGCUCAGCAGCAUGGUCCUCCAACUUCAUGUGGUGGUGUCUGCUUGGGCUGGUGACGUCUAAGAUGGCUUCUUACCUACUAGAAGCUUCUACGUGGAGGGUGGAAUAUAAUACAGUAUUUUUAGAGUGACUGGACAUCUUCUGUGGUAGGUUGGCCUCUCAUAGGGAAUAAGCAGAAACUGCUAGUUCUCCUAAAGGCUAAGGGUGGACCUACCAGAAGCACACAUCCACCAAGGCAUUUCCCAAGGCCAGCCCAGAUUCAAAGGGAAAU